This 627-nucleotide ribosomal RNA is filed under the name uncultured bacterium. Its description in RNAcentral is "bacterial SSU rRNA". It matches the Rfam family "Bacterial small subunit ribosomal RNA", at positions 122 to 763 of the family's 1533-position model. The record is from RNAcentral.
GAACUUGCCUCUUGGUCUGGGACAACUGUUGGAAACGACAGCUAAUACCGGAUAUUAUGAGAUUCUCGCAUGGGAAACUUAUGAAAGCUAUAUGCGCCAAGAGAGAGCCUUGCGUUCCAUUAGCUAGUUGGUGGGGUAACGGCCCACCAAGGCGACGAUGGAUAGCCGGCCUGAGAGGGUGAACGGCCACAAGGGGACUGAGACACGGCCCUUACUCCUACGGGAGGCAGCAGUGGGGAAUAUUGGACAAUGGACCAAAAGUCUGAUCCAGCAAUUCUGUGUGCACGAUGAAGGUCUUCGGAUUGUAAAGUGCUUUCAGUUGGGAAGAAGCAAGUGACGGUACCAACAGAAGAAGCGACGGCUAAAUACGUGCCAGCAGCCGCGGUAAUACGUAUGUCGCAAGCGUUAUCCGGAUUUAUUGGGCGUAAAGCGCGUCUAGGCGGAAAAAUAAGUCUGAUGUUAAAAUGCGGGGCUCAACUCCGUAUUGCGUUGGAAACUGUUUUUCUAGAGUACUGGAGAGGUGGGCGGAACUACAAGUGUAGAGGUGAAAUUCGUAGAUAUUUGUAGGAAUGCCGAUGGAGAAGUCAGCUCACUGGACAGAUACUGACGCUAAAGCGCGAAAGCGUG